Non-coding RNA from Arvicanthis niloticus (Nile rat), 90 nucleotides. Lineage: Eukaryota; Metazoa; Chordata; Mammalia; Rodentia; Muridae. The record is from RefSeq and is a predicted model, not a curated record.
UCGCUGUGAUGAUGGAUUCCAAAACCAUUCGUAGUUUCCACCAGAAAUGCUUACUGUGUUGGCUAGUUCCUUCCUUGGAUGUCUGAGCGA